RNAcentral lists this ribosomal RNA (452 nucleotides) under uncultured Hyphomicrobiales bacterium. RNAcentral describes it as "uncultured Rhizobiales bacterium partial 16S ribosomal RNA". Lineage: Bacteria; Pseudomonadati; Pseudomonadota; Alphaproteobacteria; Hyphomicrobiales. The record is from RNAcentral.
UACGAAGUUAGCCGGGGCUUAUUCUUCCGGUACCGUCAUUAUCGUCCCGGACAAAAGAGCUUUACAACCCUAGGGCCUUCAUCACUCACGCGGCAUGGCUGGAUCAGGCUUGCGCCCAUUGUCCAAUAUUCCCCACUGCUGCCUCCCGUAGGAGUCUGGGCCGUGUCUCAGUCCCAGUGUGGCUGAUCAUCCUCUCAGACCAGCUACUGAUCGUCGCCUUGGUAGGCCAUUACCCCACCAACUAGCUAAUCAGACGCGGGCCGAUCCUUCGGCGAUAAAUCUUUCUCCUCUCGGACGUAUCCGGUAUUAGCUCAAGUUUCCCUGAGUUAUUCCGAACCGAAGGGCACGUUCCCACGCGUUACUCACCCGUCUGCCACUGUCCCCGAAGGAACCGUUCGACUUGCAUGUGUUGGGCCUGCCGCCAGCGUUCGCUCUGAGCCAGGAUCAAACUC